GUAGCCCUGAAUCAAGGCCCGCAGCUUGCUGUAGCUGUUGGUUUCAAACAGCGGCUGACACAAAACACUUCUUAAGGUCUGUUGACUUUCCCAAAAUGAUCUGAUGGGUUAAGUCGAUUUCAUUUUGAAGGAACAUUU
Small nucleolar RNA from Danio rerio (zebrafish), 138 nucleotides. The record is from Ensembl. NCBI's taxonomy places the organism in Eukaryota, Metazoa, Chordata, Actinopteri, Cypriniformes, Danionidae.